CUCCCAUAGCACACUGUUGGCUGGGUACUUUAGCAAGGUUGUCGUAUGUCUAUUGUUGCGGAAGACAGUUUCUUUUAUGCACUAUAUUAAGGCUCAUCAGCAAAUUCUUCAGCAGCUGGUUGACUUGAUUGGCAUUACAUCUCUCAUGGAGGUAUUAAUACGUCUGAUUGGUGCUGAUGAACAUAUGUAUAACAACUAUACGGAUGCAGUGCAGUGGAUGGAAGAAACAAAUGUGCUGGAGAUGAUUGUGGACAAGUUCAGCUCUUCUGAUUCCCCAGAGGUGCAUGCCAAUGCAGCUGAAACACUUUGUGCUAUAACGCGAUUUGCUCCCCCUGGUCUUGCUGCUAAAAUCUCCAGCCCAAAUUUCAUUGGCAGAUUGUUUCGUCAUGCUUUGGAAGAAUCACGCCCAAAGUCUGUGCUUGUUAACUCAUUGUCUAUAUGCAUAUCCUUGUUAGACCCUAAAAGGCUAACCUUGGGCACAUAUCAUACAUAUAACCGCCAACUUAAUCAUGAGUCUGCAGUAACUGUGAGUCCUGAGACGGUAGAAGGGAUGCUGGAGAGCUUAGGU
Molecule: unclassified non-coding RNA, 568 nt
Filed under: Hevea brasiliensis (rubber tree)
Lineage: Eukaryota; Viridiplantae; Streptophyta; Magnoliopsida; Malpighiales; Euphorbiaceae
Source: RNAcentral